CGUAUCCCUCCUCGACCUCGACUCAACCGGAGAAGGUCUGGAUGAUGGUGUUGUGCCAUGGGUCAGACAGGUGCUGCAGCAGGUUGUCGAAGGGCCCCUUGCCGGUGACGUUGUGCUGGAUCAGGAAGCCCAGGAACGCCAGCAUCGCCAGCCUCCCUGCACGCAGAACCGGAUGAUGAGAUCAUAACCGUCGUCAGAGAAGGAUCGGAAAGUGGCCGACGGUACUACUACUACUACUA
This 239-nucleotide long non-coding RNA is filed under the name Zea mays. RNAcentral's name for it is "long non-coding RNA (ZMAY_LNC005681)". Lineage: Eukaryota; Viridiplantae; Streptophyta; Magnoliopsida; Poales; Poaceae. The record is from RNAcentral.